CCCAGCUCAGCAGAGUCUGGCACUGACCCCACUAAUGCUGCCCACCGAGGCAGCUGGGAAUGGGGGGUGGGGAAAAGUUUUAAGGAAAUUUGACUCAAGAUGCAGAUUUUCCAGCUUGAACCUAUUAUCCCCGCUGGUGAAAUACUGAAAACUUUCCAGCAUCUUUUUUUCUGCAUUAACUGAAGGAUUUUUUAAACUCAGCAUGAAAAGAAACUACUUAAUAAUAAGGGCCGGCUUCAAAGUGGCUGCAGACAGGAAAUUGGAAGGUGGAUGCUCUCCCUUUAACCCAUCUCACCAUAUGAAUAGUGCUGCAGAGGAGCUGAGGGAUUAAAGAGCUCUCAAGGAUCAGAAGAUGUGUCUCUCUCUAAGGAACAGAGGCAUAUGUGAGUGGUAGGGUGUAAUUUCCUACCCACCUCCAAUUACACUCUCUUGUGAUCCAUCUGUCUGGGAAGCUAUCAGGUAUUGUGUUUUAUAAUUGCUGCUUGUUAAAAAUAUCAUCAUAGCUGGAAGUUUAAAAAAGGAAAUCUCAAAAGACCCUCAAAAAUGAAAGCAAA
RNAcentral lists this long non-coding RNA (554 nucleotides) under Numida meleagris (helmeted guineafowl). RNAcentral's name for it is "lncRNA (ENSNMEG00000007294.1)". The record is from RNAcentral. Lineage: Eukaryota; Metazoa; Chordata; Aves; Galliformes; Numididae.